AGAUUAUUUCCUUAAUAACAUUUAUCCCGCAAAUUGUUUUAGUAACGUUAUUUGGUUUUAAAUAUGCAAAACAUAAUUUAGAAUUAUCUAUGUUUUUACAAGUAAAAUAAUAUAAGAAUACAUUUUUUGCAUUUUUUUUAUAUUAUUCUAAUAAUAAAUUUAUAAAUAUUUGAAUAAUAUUUUUAUUUGGUUUUUAUUUUUUUCUUUUUUAUUUAAGACUAUGGCGUUUAUUACCAUGAACAAAGUAUGCACGUCUCAGUACUUUAUUUGGUGCAUCCCAUUUUUACCCAUUGUCCUUGUGACUAUAACCUUGAACAAGGAAAACUUAAUUCUUAUUUCCUGCGCAAUUCUCUUUUUUACUUUGUCAAAGUCUCAUUGGCUUUUUUUGGGCAUAUUAUCUUGAAUUUAAAGGAUAUAACACCUUUUUACAAGUAUAACUUUAAUCACUUAUUAUUUUUAUAAAAAUAACAUUGUUGCAUUGAUGAAAAAUCGUUA
This 495-nucleotide long non-coding RNA is filed under the name Piliocolobus tephrosceles (Ugandan red Colobus). RNAcentral's name for it is "lncRNA (ENSPTEG00000022112.1)". Lineage: Eukaryota; Metazoa; Chordata; Mammalia; Primates; Cercopithecidae. The record is from RNAcentral.